RNAcentral lists this ribosomal RNA (231 nucleotides) under Hydatigera taeniaeformis. RNAcentral describes it as "partial large subunit ribosomal RNA". It matches the Rfam family "Eukaryotic large subunit ribosomal RNA", at positions 31 to 233 of the family's 3401-position model. Lineage: Eukaryota; Metazoa; Platyhelminthes; Cestoda; Cyclophyllidea; Taeniidae. The record is from RNAcentral.
AACUUAAGCAUAUCAAUAAGCGGAGGAGAAGAAACUAACCAGGAUUCCCUCAGUAACGGCGAGUGAAGAGGGAUGAGCCCAGCACCGAAGCCUGCGGCAGGUUUGCUGUUAGGCAAUGUGGUGUGCGGGUCGGCUGGCGGGACCGCCGCUCCACUCGAAGUCCAGCAUUGAGUAUGGUGAUGAUGGAGGUAGAUGAUGGCCCACAGAGGGUGAGAGGCCCGUAGGAGUGGA